RNAcentral lists this ribosomal RNA (450 nucleotides) under uncultured bacterium. RNAcentral describes it as "partial 16S ribosomal RNA". It matches the Rfam family "Bacterial small subunit ribosomal RNA", at positions 354 to 796 of the family's 1533-position model. The record is from RNAcentral.
GUGGGGAAUCUUCCACAAUGGACGAAAGUCUGAUGGAGCAACGCCGCGUGAGUGAAGAAGGGUUUCGGCUCGUAAAGCUCUGUUGUCGGGGACGAAUGUGCAGUAUUUGAAUAAAGUACUGCAAUGACGGUACCUGACGAGGAAGCCACGGCUAACUACGUGCCAGCAGCCGCGGUAAUACGUAGGUGGCAAGCGUUGUCCGGAAUUAUUGGGCGUAAAGGGAGCGCAGGCGGGAAGGUAAGUCGGUCUUAAAAGUGCGGGGCUCAACCCCGUGAUGGGAUAGAAACUAUCUUUCUUGAGUGCAGGAGAGGAAAGUGGAAUUCCUAGUGUAGCGGUGAAAUGCGUAGAUAUUAGGAGGAACACCAGUGGCGAAGGCGACUUUCUGGACUGUAACUGACGCUGAGGCUCGAAAGCCAGGGGAGCGAACGGGAUUAGAAACCCGAGUAGUCC